Sarcophilus harrisii (Tasmanian devil) is the source of this 6023-nucleotide RNA transcript. It is a transcript of the gene named protein phosphatase 4 regulatory subunit 1, with no coding region annotated. Lineage: Eukaryota; Metazoa; Chordata; Mammalia; Dasyuromorphia; Dasyuridae. The record is from RefSeq and is a predicted model, not a curated record. The transcript is spliced from 24 exons.
ACUUCCCGGCACAAGAGUUUAUAUAAAUGGGUCAGCGUCAAGAUCUUUCACUGCUUCAGGAGGACCUGCAGGAGGAAAUAGAAGGAUUUGGUGUGGAUGACUACAGCUCAGAGUCUGACGUGAUUAUUAUACCUUCAGCCCUGGAUUUCGUCUCACAAGAUGAAAUGUUGACACCAUUGGGAAGAUUGGACAAGUAUGCUUCAAGUGAGAACGUAUUUAACAGACAAAUGGUGGCCCGAAGCUUGCUUGAUACUUUGAAAGAAGUCAGCGAUGAUGAGAGAGAUUGUAUUGCUGUUUUGGAAAGAGUCAGCAGAUUAGCUGAUGAUUCAGAACCAACUGUGCGAGCUGAACUGAUGGAACAGGUGCCUCAUAUUGCAUUAUUUUGUCAAGAAAAUCGACCUUCAAUUCCAUAUGCUUUUUCCAAAUACUUGCUGCCUAUUGUGGUUAGAUAUCUUGCAGAUCAGAAUAACCAGGUGAGAAAAACAAGUCAAGCAGCUUUGCUGACUUUGCUAGAGCAGGAACUUAUUGAUCGUUUUGAUGUGGAGGCCAAAGUAUGCCCAGUUCUUAUAGACCUAACUGCACCAGAUAGCAAUGAUGAUGUGAAGACUGAAGCUGUGGCAAUAAUGUGCAAGAUGGCACCCAUGGUUGGAAAAGACAUCACAGAGCGACUUAUCCUCCCUAGAUUUUGUGAGAUGUGCUGUGACUGCAGAAUGUUUCAUGUUCGGAAGGUCUGUGCUGCUAAUUUUGGAGACAUUUGCAGUGUUGUUGGGCAACAAGCCACUGAAGAAAUGUUGCUUCCAAGAUUUUUCCAGCUUUGUUCAGAUAACGUGUGGGGAGUAAGGAAGGCUUGUGCUGAGUGCUUCAUGGCUGUUUCAUGUGCAACAUCUCAAGAAAUCCGUCGGACAAAAUUGUCAACACUUUUUAUUAAUCUCAUCAGUGAUCCUUCACGAUGGGUUCGCCAAGCUGCCUUUCAGUCUCUGGGACCUUUCAUAUCAACUUUUGCUAAUCCAUCUAGUUCAGGCCAGUAUUUUAAAGAAGAAAAUAAGAACUCAGAAGAUAUUGUGUUAGAAGAAAAGAACAGUGAAACAAUCAGGGAUGGAGACAACUUCUCAGAGAAUGUACAGUUCAGGACAGAAGAUAUUCCUUUGGAUGUCUGUCUUUGUAAAUCCAAUUUAAGACUUGAAAAUAACCUGGAAGAUCAUACUCAAACUUGUAGGAAAUCCUUAAGUGAAUCUCAUAUUCAUCUGGAUAGGUCUUUACAUUCUACUUUAUCUUCAGUAUCUCUCCAUAGUAUUCUUCAGGAAGCUGUAGAUGAACUUGAGCAAGGUUCUCCCAAUUUAAAUACAACAUUGCUACCAGAAAUGGACAUAAGUUCUCCAGAACCAUCUCUCAUAGACCAAGAAUUAUUCAACUCCUUCCAUUUCUGGAGGACUCCUUUACCUGAAAUAGAUCUAGAUCUUGAACUUGAGCUUGAACAAAUUACUGAGAAAACAUUCAAUCCAGAAAGUCCAGAAGGAGGACCAGAAAUUACUAUACCAGAUUCUCCGAAUAUUACUAUGGCUACUCGAAAAGAACUUGAAGAAAUGAUAGAAAAUCUUGAGCCCCACAUUGAUGAUCCCGAUGUUAAAGCUAUAUUGAGGGAAAAGGAAGGAUCAAAGAAAGGACUGCUGCCUGGGAUGGAUGGGACACUGAUAAUUGACCCAAAAGAAGCACAAGUAGAAGUAUUAUCUGCUGCACUCCGAGCCACCAGUAUGGACACUCAGGAAGAGAAGAUGGUCAACUUAGAUAGGGAAGAUGAUUUACAAGAUGAAAUCCUCAUAAAAGAACUUCAGAAUUGUAAAAUAAAUCAAGAUGAUCCUGUGCCUUUAAUCAACGAUAAUGUUGAGAAUAUGGAUUCAACUCUUCAUUACAUCCAUAAUGAUUCAGAUUUGAGCACUGAUAAUAGUUUUAGCCCUGAAGAGGAAAGAAAAUCUAAAGUACAGGAUGUUGUGCCUCAGGCAUUGUUGGAUCAGUACUUAUCUAUGACUGAUCCCUCUCGUGCACAAACCGUUGACACUGAGAUUGCUAAACACUGUGCAUAUAGCCUUCCAGGUGUAGCACUUACUCUUGGCAGGCAGAACUGGCACUGUCUGAGAGAGACUUAUGAGACACUUGCAUCAGAUAUGCAGUGGAAAGUUCGGAGGACACUAGCAUUCUCUAUCCAUGAGCUUGCAAUAAUUCUUGGAGAUCAAUUGACAGCAGCAGAUCUGGUUCCAAUUUUCAAUGGGUUUUUAAAGGAUCUUGAUGAAGUCAGGAUAGGAGUCCUUAAACAUUUACAUGAUUUUCUGAAGCUUCUUCAUAUUGACAAAAGAAGAGAAUAUCUUUACCAGCUUCAGGAGUUUUUAGUAACAGAUAAUAGCAGAAAUUGGCGCUUUCGAGCUGAACUGGCUGAGCAGCUGAUUUUACUUCUAGAUUUAUACAGUCCCAGAGAUGUAUAUGAUUACUUACGGCCAAUUGCUCUGAAUCUAUGUGCAGACAAAGUUUCUUCUGUUCGUUGGAUUUCCUACAAGUUGGUUAGUGAAAUGGUAAAGAAAUUGCAUAUGGCUACACCCUCAACAUUUGGAGUAGAUUUAAUUAAUGAACUUGUGGAAAAUUUUGGUAGAUGCCCGAAAUGGUCUGGUCGACAGACGUUUGUCUUUGUCUGCCAGACUAUCAUUGAGGAUGAUUGCCUUCCUUUGGACCAGUUUGCUGUGCAUCUGAUGCCACAUUUGUUAAAUUUAGCAAAUGAUAGUGUUCCAAAUGUUCGAGUACUACUUGCAAAAACAUUAAGACAAACUCUCUUAGAAAAAGAUUAUUUCUUAAGUUCUGCUAACUCACAUCAAGAAGCUGUGGAACAAACAAUUAUGGCUCUUCAGAUGGAUAGUGACAGUGAUGUCAAAUAUUUUGCAAGCAUUCACCCUUCCAGUAACAAAAUUGCUGAAGAUGCUAUGAGUACAGCUUCUUCAACUUAUUAAAGAGCCCAAGUCUCAUUGUCUCUUCUGCUUAAAAUCCACAAGUGCUCCUCACAUGGAUGAUCUGGGACAGCCUUUUCUGAAGGAGGAAAGAUCUCCCCUCUUGCCAGACCUAACUACAGGUGCCAGUUACCUCCACCUGAUGCCAGGGAUCUUAAGAGUCAAGAGAAAGUAUGGUAAACUAUAGCUCAUCUUGACUUUAGGAAAUACUAAUUUCUCAGAGGAUUAUACUUGUCACCGAAGCCUUAAAUCCUUCUGUCUUCCUGAAUGAAUGAAACUUGAAUUGGCAGAGCAUUUUGGAAGGGAUGACAGUCCCAAAACCUGCAUUGUUUUCUCCACAGGAGUUAACUUAGCAAGUUUUACUUUAGCAACCAGUAGAUGAAAUUCUUAUAGCCAGAAAGGCAGAUGUGUUGUAACAGGAUGUAAAAGAGACCUCUCCAGUAUUAGCUCUAAACAUUUUUAUCCAGGCAAGGACCUGAUUGGGGUGCGAUGGUUUGCUGCCCGACCCCAUCUUCAGCAUGUUAUGGGGGAACAGGAGCUGAGCUGAACAUGGGGAACAGGAGCUGAACUCCUGAAGACAGCAAAGGGUUUGGAAUCGAAUGUAGCCUCUGAUCAGUCAGGAUCAGUUUAGGCAAGAAAAUUUUGGCUUCCAGCAGCAGCAGCAGCAACAACAGCAGCAGCAAGAGGCUGGGUGGUGAAAAGAGAUAAGCUUCCUGAACUGCUUGAUUUCUGGACAAAGUGAGGGGACCUUCUUACACACUAUAAAUACUCACUUUAACUUUGAAUCUGAGAGUCACUACAGAAUAUGGAUCCCGAAGGCUUCCAGGGAUUUUGCUGUAUUAUCAAAGUAUCUUUGAGUACAUAGGUACUUCAGGGACACAGUCUCUUUGCUGCUGAGGUCCACCCCCACGCUUUUCUGGCUCUUCAUCUUCCUGCACCUGCUGCUCGGAUUUUGCCCGCUGCAUCUGGAGCAGUCGAAGCUGCACUCGAAGUUCAAUGAUGGCCUCUCGUUCUUCGUGAAUUGCUUGGUUCAAAUGAUUGUUCUUUAUCUUUACCAAUAGUAGAAAGAACAGUGUCAAUUAAGCAGUGAAAGAAAAAAAAAAAAGCUACCCAAUGGCAAAGAAAUUCAACACAGUGGUCUUUUUGUUACUUGACUAGGAAAGAAAAAAAAUUAUAUCUACUUCCCUUUGGUGGCUACACUUAGAAAUCAUUAAAUCAUUAGGAAUCCAGUGUUCCACUUCAGGUAGAAAGGACGAAAGGAAUGUCAUGUUAUUUGAAGUGAAUUUGGAUUCAAAACCAUCUUUUAUUGUGUGAAAAUACUGAGUAUAGGAGCAUCCCACUUCCCAAUCCUAUCCAUCAACCAUGAUGAUUUUUUGUUCCUAAGAAAAUAUAGCUUGUCAGAGCUUAUGGACCUCCUCAUGAAAAAAAAAAAAAAACAAAAACAAAAAAACUGAAAAGCCACUAGCUCCUCAGCCCUAUUCAAAAUCUAGUUAAGCAGCAGUAUUCUCAGCUGGGUAGAGAAUUCCCUCUGACUGUUUGCUCACAGACAGACCUUCCUGAGACUCUUUUUAAAAACCUGCUUUUUAACUCUCAGCUUGUUUUCUUUUUUGUGAGCCACCAAAGAAAUCUUACAUGUAAAAUGCUUCUGGACACGCUAAGACACUUCAUAUUGUUGCUGUUACUAAAUAUCUUCCUAGGGAGAUGGAAUACACUAUAAUGUUAUAUAAUGUGGUUUAAAAAUCCUUUCCUGAAAUUGAAAGAUGUUCUUUGAAGUAAUAAAAAAACUAUCCAAUAUCUUAGGAAAUUAAUCUAUCCUAUGGGGAAAUUAUCUCACCCCAUAAUAGUCAUUUAAGUCAUAGUGCCACAUUGUUUUCAAGGGAAAACAAUCCUGUCAUAAAACGUUAGGAGGAUCAAGGCUAUUGAAUGUGCUGCUACUUAGAAAGAAUGGAAACAAUGAUUAAAAAAUCAUAACAGCUUGAAUAAGAAAUUAAGUGUUUACACAAACAAAAAAGUAACUAAAUAUAGAAAAAUUAAUAUGAAACUAAGAAGGCUCUUUAUACGUUUAUGUUCAUCACCUGAUCAUCACCAGUCACCAUAAUAUUUUCUCUGGUCAACUAGGGCAGCAGAGGCUGGCAAUAAUCUGAAGAAAGAGGAUCUUGGUUCUAAUCCCAGUUCUGCCACUUGUGUCACCCAGAGCCACUUUUCAGAGCCUAUGUCCCCUUACUUGUUAAAAUAAGGGAUAAUCAAUACCCUAAUAAUCUACAGCAAAAUCCCUCUUAUUUCAGCCUUGAGGCUGAAAAUAGAAUAUUUUUUAGACAGUCUCUCCCAAAAAAAGUAAAAGAGCAGAUGUGUACAACAUAUAUGACCAUCACUGGCUAGUGAAGAUUGGUAGAAGAAAUUUUGGAGGCUAAGGAUUUGGAAGGAGCCUCUAAGGCUCUGAAGCCAAUCCAACCUGAUUAAGAAUUCCUUCUACACAUUCCAAAUUCAACAAGAAUCUAUGAUGAUUCCUUUCAGGCAUUCAAAUAGGCUUGGUGUACACAAAAAACAAAAAUUUCUAUUUUCACACUUUACUAGAACAAAGAGAUAAAAUAUUUUGGGAAAGGAGGUAGUGGUGGUGGAUUCACUAAGUUCUUGGUUGGCUAACUAGAUGGCGGCACUUAAGAUGAGCUUUGAAUAAAAUUAAGGAUUCCUGAAAGAUUAUUAAAAAAAAAAAAUCAGAUACGGAAAAAAAAAACUAAAAAGCUGUCAGAAGAUGGAAAGCUUUAUGUAUAACCGCAUAGGUAGAAUUUAAAUUGUAUGAAGGGGGAAUAAAAUACACUUCAUAUAUACCACUUAAGAUAGGCUAGAGCAAAACAGGAGCAAUAUUACAACAUUUCUUGAAGUGACAUGGACAGACCCAACCAAGCUUUAGUUAGGAAUAUCAAUUAGGUAGCUAUAGAAAGUGGAGUUUAAAGCUGGCAAGAGGGGCUGUCCUGAGUGGAUGUGAAAAAAUGUAUGGUGAUCAAUAAGACAGGCAACUGAUGGAAUGUUAAA